This 1911-nucleotide ribosomal RNA is filed under the name Parabacteroides distasonis. RNAcentral's name for it is "bacterial SSU rRNA". The stretch from base 1 to 1517 matches the Rfam family "Bacterial small subunit ribosomal RNA". The record is from RNAcentral. Lineage: Bacteria; Pseudomonadati; Bacteroidota; Bacteroidia; Bacteroidales; Tannerellaceae.
GUUUGAUCCUGGCUCAGGAUGAACGCUAGCGACAGGCUUAACACAUGCAAGUCGAGGGGCAGCGGGGUGUAGCAAUACACCGCCGGCGACCGGCGCACGGGUGAGUAACGCGUAUGCAACUUGCCUAUCAGAGGGGGAUAACCCGGCGAAAGUCGGACUAAUACCGCAUGAAGCAGGGAUCCCGCAUGGGAAUAUUUGCUAAAGAUUCAUCGCUGAUAGAUAGGCAUGCGUUCCAUUAGGCAGUUGGCGGGGUAACGGCCCACCAAACCGACGAUGGAUAGGGGUUCUGAGAGGAAGGUCCCCCACAUUGGUACUGAGACACGGACCAAACUCCUACGGGAGGCAGCAGUGAGGAAUAUUGGUCAAUGGCCGAGAGGCUGAACCAGCCAAGUCGCGUGAGGGAUGAAGGUUCUAUGGAUCGUAAACCUCUUUUAUAAGGGAAUAAAGUGCGGGACGUGUCCCGUUUUGUAUGUACCUUAUGAAUAAGGAUCGGCUAACUCCGUGCCAGCAGCCGCGGUAAUACGGAGGAUCCGAGCGUUAUCCGGAUUUAUUGGGUUUAAAGGGUGCGUAGGCGGCCUUUUAAGUCAGCGGUGAAAGUCUGUGGCUCAACCAUAGAAUUGCCGUUGAAACUGGGGGGCUUGAGUAUGUUUGAGGCAGGCGGAAUGCGUGGUGUAGCGGUGAAAUGCAUAGAUAUCACGCAGAACCCCGAUUGCGAAGGCAGCCUGCCAAGCCAUUACUGACGCUGAUGCACGAAAGCGUGGGGAUCAAACAGGAUUAGAUACCCUGGUAGUCCACGCAGUAAACGAUGAUCACUAGCUGUUUGCGAUACACUGUAAGCGGCACAGCGAAAGCGUUAAGUGAUCCACCUGGGGAGUACGCCGGCAACGGUGAAACUCAAAGGAAUUGACGGGGGCCCGCACAAGCGGAGGAACAUGUGGUUUAAUUCGAUGAUACGCGAGGAACCUUACCCGGGUUUGAACGCAUUCGGACCGAGGUGGAAACACCUUUUCUAGCAAUAGCCGUUUGCGAGGUGCUGCAUGGUUGUCGUCAGCUCGUGCCGUGAGGUGUCGGCUUAAGUGCCAUAACGAGCGCAACCCUUGCCACUAGUUACUAACAGGUUAGGCUGAGGACUCUGGUGGGACUGCCAGCGUAAGCUGCGAGGAAGGCGGGGAUGACGUCAAAUCAGCACGGCCCUUACAUCCGGGGCGACACACGUGUUACAAUGGCGUGGACAAAGGGAGGCCACCUGGCGACAGGGAGCGAAUCCCCAAACCACGUCUCAGUUCGGAUCGGAGUCUGCAACCCGACUCCGUGAAGCUGGAUUCGCUAGUAAUCGCGCAUCAGCCAUGGCGCGGUGAAUACGUUCCCGGGCCUUGUACACACCGCCCGUCAAGCCAUGGGAGCCGGGGGUACCUGAAGUCCGUAACCGAAAGGAUCGGCCUAGGGUAAAACUGGUGACUGGGGCUAAGUCGUAACAAGGUAGCCGUACCGGAAGGUGCGGCUGGAACACCUCCUUUCUGGAGCUUCAGGAUUCCGUACCGAGGUCAUACGAAGGUAUUGAUCGCCUUGUUGCUGCUGUUGAGAUUAUGUUUAUAUAUAGAUCUUACAGACCGGGAGGCCGGUCGGAGAGAAAAAGAUGAAGCUGGGACGUAAGUCUUGGCAAAGUUGACAGUCCUAUAGCUCAGUUGGUUAGAGCGCUACACUGAUAAUGUAGAGGUCGGCAGUUCAACUCUGCCUGGGACUACUCCGAAUGAGGGGGAUUAGCUCAGCUGGCUAAAGCAUCUGCUUUGCACGCAGAGGGUCAACGGUUCGAAUCCGUUAUUCUCCACAGUUUAUUGAWAHGAGGGAUAGGCAUCAGCCAAUCCCGUCCCGACGACAGUCGGGCUCAGAUAAGAAGGAUCUUUGACAUGU